This 313-nucleotide ribosomal RNA is filed under the name uncultured eukaryote. Its description in RNAcentral is "partial 18S ribosomal RNA". It matches the Rfam family "Eukaryotic small subunit ribosomal RNA", at positions 1470 to 1796 of the family's 1831-position model. The record is from RNAcentral.
CCCUUAGAUGUUCUGGGCUGCACGCGCGCUACACUGAUGCGCUCAACGAGUUUACGACCUUGCCCGGAAGGGUUGGGUAAUCUUUUUAAAACGCAUCGUGAUGGGGAUAGAUUAUUGCAAUUAUUAAUCUUUAACGAGGAAUUCCUAGUAAGCGCGAGUCAUCAGCUCGUGCUGAUUACGUCCCUGCCCUUUGUACACACCGCCCGUCGCUCCUACCGAUUUUGAGUGGUCCGGUGAACCUUCUGGAUUGUGCGGCUUGCCGCGCGAGAAGUUAUGUAAACCUUAUCACUUAGAGGAAGGAGAAGUCGUAACA